AUCACAUCGGCCUUUUGGCUAAGAUCAGGUGUAGUAUCUGUUCGUAUCAGUUUAAUAUCUGAUAUGUCCUCUAUCCUUCUAUUCUUGAAAUAAAUUCUGCUUGGUAACUAUU
The sequence is a small nuclear RNA, 112 nucleotides long. Its record names the gene U2. It matches the Rfam family "U2 spliceosomal RNA". Rfam says of the family: U2 is a small nuclear RNA (snRNA) component of the spliceosome (involved in pre-mRNA splicing). Complementary binding between U2 snRNA (in an area lying towards the 5' end but 3' to hairpin I) and the branchpoint sequence (BPS) of the intron results the bulging out of an unpaired adenosine, on the BPS, which initiates a nucleophilic attack at the intronic 5' splice site, thus starting the first of two transesterification reactions that mediate splicing. The record is from Ensembl.